This is a long non-coding RNA of Cyprinus carpio carpio, 841 nucleotides long. Lineage: Eukaryota; Metazoa; Chordata; Actinopteri; Cypriniformes; Cyprinidae. The record is from Ensembl.
UUUUCUUAAAUAUGGCUGUUUCCCAGUUUUAUUUUUUUUUUUGUUUGUUUGUUUGUUUUUUUUUGUUUUUUUUUUAGGAUUUACAUUUAAAAAAAUGAGCCUACUUCAAACAUUUUAAGCAGCUUGAACAAAAACCUGUUAAUAUUUAUUAUAGACCACUGUAACUGUCUAUUAUCUAAAAAAAACAAAUUUAUUAUGAAAAUAAAAGUGUGUACACCAGUUAAACUGGAUGAUAAAGAAAUUGCUAACAAUAGUUUAAUAGAGCAUGUUUUAGGUUUAUAGGUGUUUAGAUGCAGAAAUGGACAAAUCAAAUCAUAAUAAAAAUAAUAAUAAUAAAUACAUGAAUACAUACAAAAAAAGCAGCCAAGACGAAUGAUUUUCUGUUUUUAUAGAUUAAAAUUAAAGACAGAAAGCAGCUGGUAAAUGCAGUCACUUUAAUAUUCAAAUCCAGUAUCAUGAUACACUUCAGAUUUAUUUCUCAACUGUUUAUGUUCACGUGACUGUUUUCGUUUAUAUUCGCCAAGCUAUUAUGUAUUUUGAAAUAACCUUGUUCUUGAUUUGUUCGUUCUUGCCAGAAUCAGCGUCCUCUGGAUUUCGAGAGAUCGAUGUUAUUCUGCCCUUAGACAGUCUCGCGCUGUCAAAUAGUCUUUAAAUUUUCACAAUCAAACAGCUCACAAAUACCUGAAUUUAGCUCUUGUUGUGUUCUAAUGGGUGGAUUGUGUGCAUUCGCGGUAAUAUUUUAUUUUAAAAAGCUCUUAAAACUAUAAAAAUGCUUUUAUUGUGAGCUCGUGAGACUGCACGCGCUGAUGCAGCGGUGAUUUCUCUCUGGUCCUUCUCACUG